AGUGGGAUUUCAUUGAGGCAAUAAUGGAGAAGAUGGGAUUUUCACAUAUGUGGAUCGAUUAUGAGAUGUAUUAAGUCUAUUAAGUACCAGUGGCGGGAUCUAGGAAUUUUUUUUUUUUUCGGGGACAUAAAAUAAAUAAACAGGAAGUAAAUAGCAUAGGAGGGGAUGUGAACCAUGGUCUAUGGGGACAAUCAAAUGACUGAAACCAUCUAUACUAUAGAAAGCUUGUAAAUUUUUAUGCAAAUAUAUUUAUUUCUAGAUUUUUGUGGGGGCAGCUGCCUCCUCCUUGCACAAAGUAAGUUCGCCACUGUUAAGUAUCAUGUGCUUUUAAACGGCGACCCAAAAGGAAUAUUACGCCGAAGCGAGGAUUAAGUCAAAGAGAUCUUUUG
RNAcentral lists this long non-coding RNA (389 nucleotides) under Brassica napus (rape). RNAcentral's name for it is "long non-coding RNA (BNAP_LNC018802)". Lineage: Eukaryota; Viridiplantae; Streptophyta; Magnoliopsida; Brassicales; Brassicaceae. The record is from RNAcentral.